GUGCUCACUUCUGCAGCAUAUAUUCAAGUCUUAGAAUGAUACAGAGACUAACUUGGUCCCUGAACACAGAUGACAUGCAAAUUUGUGAAGCAUUUUAUAUUUUU
Small nuclear RNA from Jaculus jaculus (lesser Egyptian jerboa), 104 nucleotides. The record is from Ensembl. Lineage: Eukaryota; Metazoa; Chordata; Mammalia; Rodentia; Dipodidae.